RNAcentral lists this long non-coding RNA (12968 nucleotides) under Marmota monax (woodchuck). The stretch from base 1649 to 1717 matches the Rfam family "tRNA". The record is from RNAcentral. Lineage: Eukaryota; Metazoa; Chordata; Mammalia; Rodentia; Sciuridae.
AUUUAGCGGAAGAUUCUCCGUGGGUACAACUCCCCCUCUGUUGCUCCUGGCUGCAGGGUGGAAGGAACAGGAACGUCAUCGUGGGCAGUACUCUUAAGGUCACACCACGUCUGGUGGAAUGUGCUGAACUUGAGAGUUUGAGAUCCAACUCCAGAGAGCACUUUUGAAAUGGAAAUGCAGUCAUCCAAACAGUGAGUGGUGAGCCACGCCCUGCACCGCCCAGCCCCAAGGCAGGGGACACUGUGUACAGAGCCCGUGAGCCAAAGGCCUUGCUGGCCAAGUUGAGGCAAGAGGUGCUCUGCCCCGGGAGCCCUGGCCUCUCUUGGGCAGAGUCCAGGGCUUCCAGUGGGAAUCCUUUUGUGGUGAUUGGGUAGGCACAGUUGGGAUCAGAGAGGAAGAUUGAAUCUGUUAUUGGACAAGCUGCCUGGCUUCCAUCUGUCCAUCAACUAAUUUAUUCCAAACCAUGUGCUCAGCUCUGAGUGUGGCCCUAGCUCCCAGUGUGGGCAGGGACCAGAGCAGACCUGGAGGAGCUCCCACCUAGCCAUCCGGUCCGCCUGCCUGGGACAACUCCGUGCACCAGGGCCUCCGCAGGAUUUGGGUGGGGCUAUUCAACCCUCCACGCUGCUGAGCCCUGGGGUAGUGAUGACUGGCUGUGAAGUUGGGCCAUGUCGCCAGCCCCUCUUCCAGGGCAUCCUGGUCCUCUUUGAAUCUUGAAUAAGGACCAGCACGGUCUGGUGACACACAGACAUAGAGGUGAACACGUGGAGUGCUGGACACUGAAUGGUGUUCCCUCAAAAUUCUUCAAAAAAUUUUUUUUAAAAAAUAUUUUUAUUUGUAGAUGAAUACAAUACCUAUAUUUUUAAAAUUUAUUAUUUAUUUAUUCAUUCAUUCAUUCUAAUUAGUUAAACAUGACAGCAGAAUGCAUUUCAAUUCAUAGUACACAUAUAGAGCACAAUUUUUCAUGUCUCUGGUUCUACACAAAUUACAGUCACACCAUUCGUGUCCUCAUACAUGUACUUAGGGUGAUGAUAUCCAUCUCAUUCCACCGUCUUACCUACCCCCAUGCCCCCUCCCAUCCCCUCCCUCCCCUUUGCCCUAUCUAGAGUUCUUCCAUUCCUCCUCUGCUCCCCCCAUCCCCAUUAUGGAUCAGCAUCCACUUAUCAAAGAAAACAUUCGGCCUUUGUUUUUUGGGAUUGACUUACUUCACUUAGCAUGAUAUUCUCCAACUGCAUCCAUUUACCUGCAAAUGCCAUGAUUUUAUUCUCUUUUAAUGCCCAGUAAUAGUCCAUUGUGUAUAUAUACCAUAGUUUCUUUAUCCAUUCAUCUAUUGAAGGACAUCUAGGUUGGCUCCACAGUUUAGCUAUUGUGAAUUGUGCUUCUAUAAACAUUGAUGUACCUGUGUCCCUGUCAUAUGCUGAUUUUAUAGACCAAGGAGUGGGACAGCUGGGUCAAAUGGUGGUUCCAUUCCAAGUUUUCUAAGGAAUCUCCAUACUGCUUUCCAGAUUGGUUGCACCAAUUUGCAGUCCCACCAGCAGUGUAAGACUAUGCCUUUUCUCCCACAUCCUCACCAGCACUUAUUUUGUUAUUAAUUUAUUUUUACGUGGUGCUGAGGAUUGAACCCAGUUCCUCAAAAUUCUUAUGGUGGGCUGGGGUUGUAGCUCAGUGGUAGAGCGCUUGCCUCGUAUGUGUGAGGCACUGGGUUCGAUCCUCAGCACCACAUAAAAAUAAAUGAAUAAACAAAGAUAUAUAUUAUUAUGGUGAAGUCCUCACCCGCCCCCAAGGUGGUUGUGUUUGUAGGUGGGGCCUACAGGGAGAUGACUGCAGUUAAAACAGCAUUCAUAGGGUGGAGCCUCUUCUGAUAGGGCCGCUGCCUUAAUAAGAACAUGGGGAUGUUAGAGUUCUCCCCUCCAUGUGAGGACACAGCCAGAAGGCAGCCAUCUGCAACUGGGAAGAUGGCCCUUGCCAGGAACCCAGUCAGACAGCACCUUGAGGUUGGCCUUCUAGCCUCCAGAACAGUGAGAAAAUAAACUUCUGUUGUCGAUGCCACUUAGUAUGUGGGAUUUUUUUUUCUUUUUCUUUCUUUCUUCUUGUUCUUCUUUCUUUUCUUCUUCUUCUUCUUUUUUUUUUUUUUGAUAUAGCUUUCCCCUAUACUACCCAGGCGGACCUUGAAUUUGCAAUCCUCCUGCCUUAGCCUCCCAAGUAGCUGGGAUUAUAGGCCUGCGCCACUGUGCCUGGCGCAGUCUGAUUUUGCUAAGGCAGUCUGAGGAGAUCUAAGGCAGGGAAUUAUUCAAAAAGCUCUAUUUUGUUCUAUAAAAAAGAAACCCGAGGGGCUCCAGUGUUCCUGGGCCCCUGUUCUGCGUUUCUCCAAUGAACUUUGUUCCCCCUGGUUUGCUGCCGUCAGUUUGAACUGGCCCACGUCCAGGCCCUCUCCAGGCCCUCUCCAGGCCCUCAGGCCCUUCUAGCUACCACUGUUGUCCUGGGCCUCUACUCAGCCAUUCAUUGCACACAAACUACUUUGAUGUCACAUUCAAUAGACACUUUUUAGUCCCUGUCUGACUUUUUUCUUUUUCAAUGCUAGGGAUGGAACCCAGGGCCCUGUGCAUGCUAACUAAGUGCUCUCCAACUGAGCUACACACCCAACAUUUUGUAAGAUAAAAAAGAAAAAUUGAAGACAGAGUCUUGCUAAGUUGCCCCUGCUGGGCUGGAACUGGCAAUCCUCCUGCCUCAGGCUCCUGAGUAGUUGGGAUUGCAGAUGUGCGCCAUCAUGCCCGGCAAUUAUUUUUUAAAAAAUUCUUUCUCCUCCCUUGCAUUUCUGGACCCUGGUCCCUUCUGUUUCUCUUCAUUCCUUCCUGGCAUCUCUUUUUCAGUCUUUAGCCACCAUCUGCCACCCAGCUGCCCCACACAGAGUGUUGCUGUUAGCCAGGUCUUGCCUCUUUGUCCUCUUCCUUGCUGGCUGCCUCUGAAAUCUGUGGGUACAGCCCAGAUUCCUUGCUGAACCCCUGACAGGGUGUCUCUCAAGCACAUCGCGUGGUGUGUCCAUUAAAUGGAGCCUGCUGUCUCCUGCUCUGCUCUCAUUUCUGCUUCUUACUCUCAUAUGGACAGCCCUUAGAACUAUGAGUAUUUAUUAUUUCUAUAAAAGAGAAAAGAUCAAUGGAUGCCCAGCGCCCUUUCUAAAGCUGCGGCAGAGAAGUGGACUCUUGUCUAGGAGAGCAGGGUAUAGCAGAUUUCUAGUGAUGUCUCUGUUAUGGACGGUUUUUGGGAAGGGCUGGGGCAGGCUUGUGUGAGACACUGAAGUAUGGAACACUGCUUUGUUAUGAGAUGGGGCUGGACCAGAGAUGGCACUUUGGUGACCACAUCCAGCUCACAGAUGCAUUUUGUUUGGCCCAUCUGAAUUGUUCAAAAUUGAUUGAUGGGUUGCCAACAUUAAAACAACAACAACAACAACAACUGGGUAUUCCAGCCGGGCGCAGUGGUACAUAGCUGUAAUCCCAGAAACUCCUGAGGCUGAGGCAGGAGAAUUGCAAGUUCAAGACCAGCCUCAGCCCUCAGACUUAGCCUCAGCAACUUACUAAACAACUAAGCCCUAAGUAAGAUCCUGUCUCAAAGAUUAAGGAUAUAACUCAGUGGUAAAGCACCCCUGUGUUCAAUCCCCAGUACCAAAAAAGGGGGGGUGGCCCUGGAUAUUCUAAUAUAAAAGAUAUAUUUCUAGCAUUUUAAAAAGUCAGGUUUAGCCAUUCUAGGCCACAGCACAGCAGCAAUAUUUGGAGCUGGUUUACAGCUGCCCCAUCAGAGGGACCAUUCUCCAGUCUUCACCUGCCUGCUUUACUCUAUGUAACCACCUGGGUCCUGAAAACAUAUGAAUUUGUUAUACCUGACCUAGAUAUUCUCCAGUUUUCAUUUACCCUGUGAUUUUUUUUUUAAUUAUCAUAUUUAGGUAGCAGAGAAAUUUUCCUUGGGACUUUCUUGAGCUUCCCCCAUAUGACUCAUCCUUCGGUGAAAAUGCUCUGACUACCUGCUGUCUGGCUCUCUCUCCACUCCCUUGUCCUGUUCCUAUACUUCCCCGGUUCAGGUCUUGAGCUCUGUCUGAGGCUCAUUCCAUCUCCAUUCUGUGUCUUUUUUUUUUUUUUUUUUUAGUACCAGGAGAUUGAACCCAGGGUGCUUGACCACUGAGCCCCUUCCCUAACCCUUUUUAUUUUUUUAUUUUUUAUUUGAGACAGGGUCUCACUGAGUUGUUCAGGGCUUUGAUAAAUUGCUGAGGCUGGCUUUGAACUCCUGAGCCUCCUGCCUCAGCCUCCCGAGUUGCUGGGAUUACAGGUGUGCGCCACCGUGCCCAGCAUCCUCUGUCUCUUCAAAGCCCAGCCUUUGCAGGCAUUUAGGUAAAAAGCAUGUGUGCCUUUGUCUUUCCAAUACUCUGUCAGUUUGCCUGAUAUUUAUUUGCACUUUUAUUUACUAUUUGGUGGUACUGGGGAUUGAACACAGAAGCAUUCUACCACUGAUCUACAUCCCCAGCCCUGUCUAUUUUUAAAAAAAAAUAUUUAUUUUGGGGGAAUACCAUGUUACCAGCUAUGGCCCCCCUUCUCCCUUGUGGGAGAAGCCUAUAUUACCCCCUUUUAAAUAAACCCUGCUUCAUAUAUAUAUAAAAUUGUAGUUGGACACAAUACCUUUAUUUUAUUUAUUUGUUUUUAUGUGGUGCUGAGGAUUGAACCCAGGGCCUUGCAUGUGCUAGGCAAGUGCUCUUUCACUGAGCCACAACCCCAGCCCUCUGUUUUUUAUUUUGAGAUAGGAUCUCACUAAAUUGCUGAGGUUGGCCUCAAACUUGUUAUCCUCUUGCUUCAAUCUUCCUAGUUUCUGGGAUUACAAUUCUGUUUUUCUGACCUUUAUUAUUAUUACUAUUAGUAUUAGUAGUACUGGGGAUUGAACUCAGGGGUGGCUUACUGCUGAGCCACAUCCCCAGCCUUUUUAUUUCUUAUUUCUUAUUUUGAGACAGGGUCUCACUGAAUUGCCAAGGCUGACAUCAAACUCUCCAUCCUCCUGCCUCAGCCACCUGAGCUGCUGGAGUUGCAGGCAUGAGCUACUGCUCUGGCCUCUGCCUUUUAGAAUAAGAUAUUAGAAGAUAGAGGAAUAGAUGGAGAUGCUGAGGCAGGAGGAUCACAGAUUCAAGGCUACCCUAGGCAACUUAGCAAAACCUGUCUCAAAAUUAAAAAAAAAAAUUAAAUGGCUGGGAGUGUAGCUCAGUGGUAGAGCAUCCUUGGGUUCAAUCCCUAGUGUGUGUGUCACACACACACACACACACACACACACAGUAGAAAAUUCUUUUUUAAAAAAAUAUUUAUUUUUUAGUUGGACACAAUACCUUUAUUGUAUUUAUUUAUUUUCAUGUGGUGCAGAGGAUUGAACCCAGGGCUUCUCACGUGCUAGGCAAGCGCUCUGCUGCUGAGCCACAACCCCAGCCCCCUGUAGAAAAUUCUUAAGGUUAUAUAAGGUUCCGAACAUCCUCUAACACACAUAGAGGAACUAAAGACAGUCUAAGGAGCUGCUGGGACAGUUAGGAAGGCCCUCAGUUACAGGUGAUAGCAAACUCCCCUUCAAUGUCUGGAAAAAAAAGCCACAGAACAAAAUGUCUGGCUACUGCAGCUGGUAGGGACUCCUCUCUCGUGACCAGGGGAUGGUGGCAGACGUUGUACUAUCAAAAGGCAGGAGGAGAGUCAUCUGUUUUAUCAGCAAUGUAAACACUUGCCCAGAAAUCCCCAACUGAUUUCUGGUUUUAUUUCAGUGGCGUUACAGGUGGAGUUAUAUCCUGCUCCUCCCCCUCCCUGUCCUCUACCCUACAAAAGAUAUGUUGGAGUCCCAACUCAGAAUGUGACUUUAUUUGGAGACAGUUCUUAACAGUGGCAAUCGAGUUAAAAAGAGGGCAUUAGGGUGGGUCCUAACCCAACAUGAGUGGUCUUUAUAAAACGUGGAAAUCCAGACACUAGCAGCCUGCACAGCAGGAAGGUGGCGUCCACAGGCACUAGGAGAAGAUGGCCAUGCACAAACCAAGGACAGACACCCAGAACAGGUACUUCCCUCACAUACUCAGAAGGAUCUCAUCCAGCUAAUACUUUGAUUUCAGGUUUCUGGCCUCCCAAACUGUGAAACAGUACAUUUCUAUUGCUUAACCUAUGCUGUUUGGAGUCCUUUGUUUUGGCAGCUGUAGCAAACUAGCACAAGUUAACAGAUCAUGACACAGAAGAGAGGCAGGGAAAGUGAGUGCUUGGCUGGCAUACUGCUGCCCUACGAAGAUGAGGAGCAGUCGGGUGUGAUGGUGUGCGCCUGUAAUCCCAGCAUCUCAGGAGGCUGAGGCAGGAGGAUCACCUGUUCAAAGCCAGACUCAGCAACUUAGUGAGGCCCUAAGCAACUUAGUGAGAGCUGUCUCUAAAUAAAAAUAAAAAAGGGGUGGGGAUGUGGCUCAGUGGUUAAGCACCCCUGGGUCCAAUCUCUGGUACCAAAAAAAAAAAAAAAAGAGGAUGUAGUGGUAAGGAAAAAGAGAAGGGUGGAUAUUGGACUAGCAACCAAGAGCACCUGCUGAUAUCCUGGUAAGUUGGGGACAGAAAGACUGGUCUACAAAAAAGACUGAAGAAGAUGAAUGAAUUUAUGAUUUCCUAGCUUGUUGGUGACUAAACAGUUGAUCAAUAAACACUUCCUAAGCAUGUAGGGGAUCUGCAUCCCUGUGCUUUGUAGCAGAUACGUCAGUGUCAGUCUCAGCUUUUCUCUCAAGUAGCUCAUAAUUAGAGAGGGGACACAUGGUCUGUAUUUAUAUCUAUAUACCCACGGGUCUCAGUAGCCCGAAUAUGAAAACUAAUGUUUAUUUCUUUGGCUUGGUCCUCACCUGCUGAAUUGCAGGAACCUCUAUCUCAAAUCCCUCCUUUUGUAGAGACUGCUAAUUUCCUCUUAGUAUCCAUUUCACCUUCUUCAUUUCAGUAAUAAAAUCUAUAGGUUUUAGCUGGGUACUUGACCACCCAGCCAUAGACUAAUUUCUCAGCCUCACUUGUGGCUAGGUGUGGUCAUAUGGCUAAAUUCAGACUUGGAGAUAUAAUAAAGUAAUGUGUGCAGCAUCUGGGUCAUCUCCUUCAAGGCAAAGUGGCUUCCUCUGGUCCUGCCAGCUCAGAACUGGUGUAAUAACUCACCUGCCUCCUUGGACCCAGAGAGGCAGGGCCAUGUUAAAAAUGACAGAAUAGGGGCUGAAGUCGUGCCUCAGUGGUAGAGCACUCGCCUGGCAUGUGCGGGGCCCUGGGUUCAAUCCUCAGCACCACAUAUAAAUAAAGGUAUUGUAUGCAACUACAACUAAAAAAAAUAAAUAAACAUUUUUAAAAAAUGACAGAAUAACUGUCUCCAUUUCAGAGCAGUGCUGUCAACCUCCCCUGGAUCACUUGUUUCCUGAGGGAAAAAAAAAUAAACUAUUCCAUUUAAACUGCCCAGUGUUGUGGGGGUCUUUGUUAUAGCAGCUUAACUGUACUAAUCGGUAUACAAAGUGAUAUACAAAGCAGGUAUCCCAUGAGUACUUGCAGACAUAGUUGUCCUCUCCACCCAGACACAUCUUUUUAUUUUUUUAGUUGUAGAUGGAUACAAUAUUUUUGUUUUAUUUAUAUAUUUUUGUAUGUGGCGCUGAGGAUCCUACCCAGUGCCUCAUGUGAGGCCAGUACUCAGCCAUUGAGCUACAACCCCAGCCCCAACCAGGCACAUUUCACAAGAGCUUCAUUUCCAAGUCACGUGGCAGACCCACCUCUGGAUCUUAGUUUCUCACUAGGACCCAGAAGCUGGGGGUGGGGUUAGAGUUAGGCAAACAAAAACUUAAGGAGGAACUGACUUUCAGGCUUCUUCAAGGAAUAGGGUUGGCACUGAAAAGGGAGUGCCUCCUUAAAUUUUGUAACAAGGGUGACACUGGUACCUCCCUAAAGGCUUGUUCUUUGACCUAACUGCUACUGAACUCUGAUUCCACUGCUAGGAAUUCUUCCUGUGGAAAUAAACCAACAGGUUUUUAAGGCAUAUGUAUAUAAUGAUAGUUUUCAUGAAAAAGUAUAGAAAUAUAUAACCAAAACGACAGUCAUCUAAAUGAUAAUGGGCUGGUAGUUACCUUUGGAAGGUAGGAUCACAAGUGAGUUUCCCCAUUGCCUUUUUUAAUGUUUUGCCACUUUCUGCACACUGCAAAUAGCAUUUUUGUAGUUGUUGAUGGUGGGGAUAUUAUUUAACAUAAUUUUAAAUUGUCCUUUUUUUUUUUUUUUCCAAAUGUGACUCAUCAGGCUGGGACUAAUGUGACAGGUCCAUUAUAGACAGGCUGGGACAAGCAUGCUGGCCUGGGCCUUCCUGAGGGCUUUGUGGGAGGAGAUGUGGUAAUUUGGGGGCACUGCAUGGUACUGAGUUGCUCCCUGGGGAAGCUCAGCCUACCUGGCACCACUGUGGCUGGAGUAUAGUCCAUGGACUUGAACCUCAACUCUGCCAUGUACUAGCCUCAGGAUUUCAGGCAAGGCCUUUAGCCUCUGUGCUCAAGUUUUCACAUCCCUACAAUGGAGACAGCACAAAUGAUGCCUUCCUUGGGUGGUGUUGUGGCUGGAGUAAGAAAAUGUGUAUAAAGUGUGGACACAGCCUGGCUCACUCAGGGUGACUCGGGAGGUGGGCAUUGACAUUGUUAUGGACACCCCCACCUGGAUGUGUCAGUCUGACCUCAAACACAUCAUGAAUGUCUCCACGCCUGAUCACUCCAUUCUCCAAACCUGUUCCUUUCUGUGGCACCAUCCCAUAAUGUCUUAAGCCAGAAGCCAGGUGGUUUCCCCAAAUCCAAACCAUUGCCCAGCUCUGGUGAUUCUUCCUCCUGCUCUCCUGCAUCUUCUGUGUGCUGUUGCUAUCACCUCUUCCUUGGAAGACGGGGUCUCCUCAUUGUUCUUCCUGGACCCCACUAACUCUUCUCCUCAUUGCAGAUAGAGGAAACUUCAAAUACAAACCUGAUCUCUUCAUGGCUCUGUUCAAAAGCCUCUCUGAUUUCCAGUUGCAUUAAGACAUACCAGAUGACCAGGACCAGCACAGCCUGACCCCUGGUCACCCCUCUGUCUCUAGCGUUCCCUCUCCUUCUCUGACCACCAGCCUAAGGUUCUGUCGGUUCCUCGCAAAGACCAGCGCUUUGCAGCUCUGGGGCUCUGAUCUGCUCCUUCCUCUGCUUGGGACCCUCUUCUUCUUCUCUUAUUCUGGUUCACUCAGGCUCGCUCUCUCUUUUUAAAUUUUUUGUAGCUGUAGAUGGACAGCAUGCCUUUAUUUUAUGUUAUGCUAAGGAUUGAACCCAGUGCCUCACAUGUGCUAGGCAAGCACUCUGCCACUGAGCCCCAGCCCCAGCCCUCAGGCUCUCUCUUUAGGCCUCUGCUGGAUGCACUUUCCAUAAAGAGGCCUCCCCAACCACACAAUCUAAAUCAGCCCUCCCUUUUAUUUUCUCUUCCUGUACUUUCCUGCAAGACACUUUUCACAAACUGUAAUAAUGAACAUGUAUUUGUAUGUUCCUUUAACAUCUGUCUCUACUUUCAAAUUAAAAGCUUCAGGCCAGGCCUGGUGGUGAAGUUCUGUAUUUCUAGCCAUUCAGGAGGUUGAAGCAGGAGGAUUGAAACUUCAAGGCCAACCUCUGCAAUUCAGUGAGACCCUGCCUCAAGAUAAAAAACUAAAGGGCUGGGGAUGUAACUCAGUAGUAAAGUGCCCCUGGUUCAACAAUCCUUGGUACUAAACAAACAAACAAAACUUUCAGGAAAGCAGCAAUUUUUUUCCUAAACUCUGUAACACCUAACAUAGUGGCUGGAAAAAAAUGCACACUCAGGGGGCUGGGGUUGUGGCUCAAGAGGUAGAGCGCUCACCUAGCAUGCGUGAGGCACUGGGUUUGAUCCUCAGCACCAUAUAAAAAUAAAUAAAAUAAAACUAUUGUGUUCAACUACAACUAAAAAAUACUUAUUAAAAAAAAAAUCAACACCAGGCGCAGUGUUGCAUGCCUGAAUCCUACCCUCCUGGAGCUGAGAUAGGAGGAUUGCAAGUUCAAAGCCAGCCUCAGCAAAAGUGAGGUGCUAAGCAACUCAGUGAGACCCUGUCUCUAAAUAAAAUACAAAAUAGGACUGGGGAUGUGGCUCAGUGUUUGAGUGUCCCUGAGUUCAAUUCCUGGUUAAACCCCCCCCCCCCAAAAAAAAAUUCUACUGGUUCAUGAAGACCCAAAUCUGGGAAGUAGUACCCAACAGGGCACUGAACAUGAACACAGAGCUGGGAGAAGAUGUGCAGAAUGAGCAAGAUCCUGGAGCCUGAGUGAGUGACUCAAGUUCACCACCGGGUGGGGCUCAGAUAUAGCAAAACUCAGGAAGGUGGCAGGGCUAAAGCCUGAGAGAUGCUUGUUCACAGUCACUUCUGUGUGACUCUUGCUUCCCACAGUAGCAUGCAAGCACCUUGAGGGCACUGCCUGCUUCUGCAAACCCUGCAGUACCUGGCUUCUGCUGGGUCCCACUCAUCAGGGUGAAUCCUGUAGAAGAGUGACUGGGUGAACUGCUUUUCAGUCACAGAAUGGCAGAAACUUGAAAUGACCUGAGUUCCUGCUGAUACAUGGAGGGUCUGACUCGCACAUGUCUUCAUAUUUUGCUUCCAUCUUUUCCCUUAAGAGUUGAGAGAUGAGCCUGGUGCAGUGGUGCAUGCCUGUAAUCCCAGCGGCUCAGGAGGCUGAGACAGAAGAAUCCCGAGUUCAAAGUCAGCCUCAGAAACUUAGUGAGGCCCUAAGCAACUCAGUGAGACCCUGUCUCUAAAUAAAGUAUAAAAUAGGGCUGGGGAUGUGGCUCAGUGGUAGAGUGCCCAAUCUCCAGAACCCACCCCCCCACCCCCCAAAAAAAGUGUUGGGGAUGUGGCUCAGAGUUCAAGCACCUCUGGGUUCAAUUCCCAGUACCAAAAAAAAAAAAAAAAAGAAAAAAGAAUGGACAUGUAGCUUAGUGGUAAAGCACCUCUGGGUUCAAUCUCCAGUACAAAAAAAAAAAAAAAAAAGUUGAUAGAUGAGGGCCUACAUGUGGAGAAGGAAUAGAAGGGGAAAUGUAAAGCUUUGUAUUUGUCUACUAGGGCUUUUAUAAAUUGGGUGGCUGAGCAACAGGAAUACAUUGUCUCACAUUUCUGGAGGCUAGAAAUCCAAAAUCAAGGGGUCAGCAGGGUUGAUUUCUUCUGAGGGCUGUGAAGGAAGAAUAUUUCUGGACCUCUCUUCUUGGCUUAGGUGUGGCCAUCUUCUCUCUGUGUCUGUUCACUUUGUCGUCCCCCUGUGUGUGUGUCUGCAUACAGAUUUUCCCUUUUUAUAAGAACCCCAGUCAUAUUGGAUUAGAGCCCAUACCAAUGACCUCAAUUUUAACUUGAUUAUAUCUUUUUAAAAAAUAUUUUUUUCUCUAGUUAUACAUGGACACAGUAUCUUUAUUUUGUUUAUUUAUUUUUAUGUGGUGCUGAGGAUCGAACCCCGUGCCUCACCUGUGCAAGGCAAGCGUUCUGCCACUGAGCCCCAUCCCCAGCCCUUGAUUAUAUCUUUAAAGAGUGUAUCUUCAAAUGAAGUUACAUCCCAAGAUACUGGGCUUUAAGACUCCAACAUAGCUGUGUGUGUGUGUGUGUGUGUGUGUGUGUGUGAGAGAGAGAGAGAGAGAGAGAGAGAGAGAGAGAGAUACUAAUCAACCCAUAAUAGGCCUUGAGAUUGCUUCUAGAAACUGUCUAAUGGGAAGUGGUCCCCAUCAGGGUCUUCAGUCACAGAAGUUGAGCUUAGUCUGCAGAGUGGUGCCCCUUUCAUAAGUACCCUAGAAUUGAAAUUUUUUAAAAAUAUUUAUUUUUUUAGGUGUAGAUGGACACAACACAAUGCCUUUAUUUUGCUGAGGAUGGAACCCGGGUCCUGCCCAUGCUAGGCGAGCGCUCUACCAUUGAACCACAAUCCCAGCCCCUAGGAUUGAAAAUUUAUGCUGUUAAGUGCAGGGCAGACCCUUCAGGGAGCAGUUAUAUAACAACUUUGUAAUUGCACAAGAGGUUUCUUUGUGCAAUUGGAAAAUUCACAAGGCUUUCCAGUACCAAUCAGGGCUAUGUCCAAGGCCUAAUAAGCAUUUGAGUCCCUUUCUGUUUACAGGUGAAAGUGUAUGGUUUCUGACUCAGGUGGCCAAUCUUGGACAAGGUCUCUAAGGAUUCCGGACCUUCAAAGAUGUUCUGGAUCUCUUCAGAGGAACCUGCUUGAAGCCUGUUGAGUUGUUUUUUUUUUUUUUUUUCACUGAGAAGUCUGGGUGGGGCUUCCCUUGCACAAUCUACCUUUGUGACCCCCUUGUUUUUGCUAUUCUGAAACUGAAGAUGGAAAUGAAUGGCUUGCAAUUUCUAGUCCCUCCCUGGCAGUGAGAGAUAAAAAUCUCAUUAAUUGACUGCAUUAAACAGAGUCAGUAACUGAUGUGAUUAAAAAUCUUAGCACUAUUGAUAAAUACUUACCAAGUACGCAUUGUGAUCUAGGCAUUGCAGAGGUAUUUAUUGAGCCCUGGUGUAGAUUGAAAAAUCAGAUCAAUUCUCCCCUCAUCUGUGUACUCACAAUGUUUGCAAUGUGACUCUCCUCUCUUCCUAUCAGGAGAUGGAAGUCUCUUUCCUCAACUUGAACCUGACUUACAUCUGUGUAGUUGACAUAACUGUGAAAGUGAAGAAGUGUCCGUCUUGAGCGUACAGCUUGAGAGGAUGUGCCCAAGUCCACUCUCGUUCCUGGGACCUUGCAGUUCCAUUUGAGCAAUCCUGGGCUGGCCUGCUGAUAGAUGAGAGACAGGUGGCCCACUUGCCUCAGCUGACAGCUAACCACCCCCAGAAACAGAGGCUGCUGGCUGCCUGGCAACUGGUCACAGAUGCAUAUGGGAGUCCAGCUGUGACUAGAACCACCCAGCUAAUCCCAGCCUAAAAUGCUGACCCAAAUGCAUUCUGCUGUCAUUUAUUUUUUUAAA